GCGGGUAUAGUUCAACGGUAGAACCUCAGCCUUCCAAGCUGAUGAUGCGGGUUCGAUCCCCGCUACCCGCUCCA
RNAcentral lists this transfer RNA (74 nucleotides) under Candidatus Litorirhabdus singularis. RNAcentral's name for it is "tRNA-Gly". It matches the Rfam family "tRNA". From Rfam's summary of the family: Transfer RNA (tRNA) molecules are approximately 80 nucleotides in length. Their secondary structure includes four short double-helical elements and three loops (D, anti-codon, and T loops). The record is from RNAcentral. Lineage: Bacteria; Pseudomonadati; Pseudomonadota; Gammaproteobacteria; Cellvibrionales; Halieaceae.